Molecule: transfer RNA, 71 nt
Filed under: Marmota monax (woodchuck)
Lineage: Eukaryota; Metazoa; Chordata; Mammalia; Rodentia; Sciuridae
Rfam family: tRNA
About the family: Transfer RNA (tRNA) molecules are approximately 80 nucleotides in length. Their secondary structure includes four short double-helical elements and three loops (D, anti-codon, and T loops).
Source: Rfam by way of RNAcentral
GUGGUUGUGGCUCAGUGGCAGAGCGCUUGCCUCACACGUGGGAGACCCUGAGUUUGAUCCUCAGCAUCACG